This 1233-nucleotide ribosomal RNA is filed under the name metagenome. RNAcentral describes it as "bacterial LSU rRNA". It matches the Rfam family "Bacterial large subunit ribosomal RNA", at positions 1564 to 2808 of the family's 2925-position model. The record is from RNAcentral.
UGAAUACGAGACGCUAAGGCGUCGAAGUAGUGUAUGUCAUACUUCCAAGAAAAGCUUGCACUGUCAUAGAUAAAAAACGCCUGUACCAUAACCGACACAGGUGGGUAGGUAGAGUAUACUAAGGGGCGCGAGAUAACUCUCUCUAAGGAACUCGGCAAAAUAACUCCGUAACUUCGGGAGAAGGAGUGCCUUAUUCGUAAGGUUGCAAUAACAAGAUCCAAGCAACUGUUUAUCAAAAACACAGGUCUCCGCUAAGUCGUAAGACGAUGUAUGGGGGCUGACGCCUGCCCAGUGCCAGAAGGUUAAAGAAGUUGGUUAGCAAUUGCGAAGCUGAUAACUGAAGCCCUGGUGAACGGCGGCCGUAACUAUAACGGUCCUAAGGUAGAAAACUCCUUGUCGGGUAAGUUCCGACCCGCACGAAAGGCGUAAUGAUUUGGAUACUGUCUCGGAGAGGGGCUCGGUGAAAUAGACUUGUCUGUGAAGAUGCGGACUACCUGCACCAGGACAGAAAGACCCUAUGAAGCUUUACUGUAACUUGAAAUUGAAAUUGGACUUUAUUCGCGCAGUAUAGGUGGGAGGCGUUGAUUAUAAUCUUGUGGGAUUAUUGGAGCCAUCAGUGAGAUACCACUCUUGUAAUGUUAGAUUUCUAACUUUGAAUCAUUAUCUGGUCAAAGAACAGUUUCAGGCGGGCAGUUUGACUGGGGCGGUCGCCUCCUAAACGGUAACGGAGGCGUACAAAGGUUUCCUCUGAACGGUUAGAAAUCGUAUCUAGAGUGUAAAGGCAUAAGGAAGCUUGACUGUGAGACCUACAAGUCGAGCAGGGACGAAAGUCGGUCUUAGUGAUCUGACGGUACUGAGUGGAAAGGCCGUCACUCAACGGAUAAAAGUUACUCUAGGAUAACAGGCUGAUCUCCCCCAAGAGUUCACAUCGACGGGGAGGUUUGGCACCUCGAUGUCGGCUCAUCGCAUCCUGGGGCGGUUGUACGUCCCAAGGGUUGGGCUGUUCGCCCAUGAAAGCGGUACGCGAGCUGGGUUCAGAACGUCGUGAGACAGUUCGGUCCAUAUCCGGUGUAGGCGUUAGAAUAUUGAGAGGAGCCUUCUUUAGUACGAGAGGACCGAGAAGGACAUACCUCUGGUGUACCAGUUAUCGUGCCAACGGUAAACGCUGGGUAGCUAUGUAUGGAGUGGAUAACCGCUGAAAGCAUCUAAGUGGGAGGCCCACCUCAAGAUAAG